Molecule: long non-coding RNA, 176 nt
Organism: Rhincodon typus (whale shark)
Lineage: Eukaryota; Metazoa; Chordata; Chondrichthyes; Orectolobiformes; Rhincodontidae
Exons: 2
Source: RefSeq, a predicted model, not a curated record
AUUGUAAACCCUGAACAGAAAUAAACCAGAUGGACAAACGUGCCUGGAAUAUUUUCUCUCGUGGAUAUUGAGCUGCUUUUGAAAGAUAACUGGCAUUUCAAUUCUCCUUCUAUAUCAACACAGCUCCAAAUCCUACAUUGCUGGUGACGAUAGUGAUUUUGAAAGAUUUGGUGUGG